GAGUAUGUGCAUGAGGGAGUAGGAUGUAUAGCUGUUAGGUAGACAACUAAAAUCUCUCACGACAGACAG
This 69-nucleotide microRNA precursor is filed under the name Callithrix jacchus (white-tufted-ear marmoset). RNAcentral describes it as "mir-4510 microRNA precursor family". It matches the Rfam family "mir-4510 microRNA precursor family". The record is from Rfam by way of RNAcentral. Lineage: Eukaryota; Metazoa; Chordata; Mammalia; Primates; Cebidae.